This 253-nucleotide ribosomal RNA is filed under the name uncultured bacterium. RNAcentral describes it as "partial 16S ribosomal RNA". It matches the Rfam family "Bacterial small subunit ribosomal RNA", at positions 524 to 776 of the family's 1533-position model. The record is from RNAcentral.
AACGUAGGAGACGAACGUUAUCCGGAGUUACUGGGCGUAAAGGGCGUGCAGGCGGUCUGCCAAGUCCGGCGUGAAAUCUUUCGGCUUAACCGGGGGAUGUCGUCGGAGACUGGCGGACUAGAGGGUGAUAGAGGCGUGUGGAAUUCCGGGUGUAGUGGUGAAAUGCGUAGAGAUCCGGAGGAACACCAGUGGCGAAGGCGACACGCUGGGUCAUACCUGACGCUAAUACGCGACAGCAUGGGGAGCAAACGGG